RNAcentral lists this ribosomal RNA (465 nucleotides) under Vreelandella stevensii. RNAcentral's name for it is "partial 16S ribosomal RNA". It matches the Rfam family "Bacterial small subunit ribosomal RNA", at positions 338 to 795 of the family's 1533-position model. Lineage: Bacteria; Pseudomonadati; Pseudomonadota; Gammaproteobacteria; Oceanospirillales; Halomonadaceae. The record is from RNAcentral.
CCUACGGGUGGCAGCAGUGGGGAAUAUUGGACAAUGGGCGAAAGCCUGAUCCAGCCAUGCCGCGUGUGUGAAGAAGGCCUUCGGGUUGUAAAGCACUUUCAGUGGGGAAGAAAGCCUUGGGGCUAAUACCCUCGAGGAAGGACAUCACCCACAGAAGAAGCACCGGCUAACUCCGUGCCAGCAGCCGCGGUAAUACGGAGGGUGCGAGCGUUAAUCGGAAUUACUGGGCAUAAAGCGCGCGUAGGCGGUCUGAUAAGCCGGUUGUGAAAGCCCCGGGCUCAACCUGGGAACGGCAUCCGGAACUGUCAGGCUAGAGUGCAGGAGAGGAAGGUAGAAUUCCCGGUGUAGCGGUGAAAUGCGUAGAGAUCGGGAGGAAUACCAGUGGCGAAGGCGGCCUUCUGGACUGACACUGACGCUGAGGUGCGAAAGCGUGGGUAGCAAACAGGAUUAGAUACCCGAGUAGUC